RNAcentral lists this ribosomal RNA (301 nucleotides) under uncultured bacterium. RNAcentral describes it as "partial 16S ribosomal RNA". It matches the Rfam family "Bacterial small subunit ribosomal RNA", at positions 509 to 809 of the family's 1533-position model. The record is from RNAcentral.
CAGCCGCCACGGUAAUACGAAGGGUGCAAGCGUUAAUCGGAAUUACUGGGCGUAAAGCGCGCGUAGGUGGUUUGGUAAGAUGGAUGUGAAAUCCCCGGGCUCAACCUGGGAACUGCAUCCAUAACUGCCUGACUAGAGUACGGUAGAGGGUGGUGGAAUUUCCUGUGUAGCGGUGAAAUGCGUAGAUAUAGGAAGGAACACCAGUGGCGAAGGCGACCACCUGGACUGAUACUGACACUGAGGUGCGAAAGCGUGGGGAGCAAACAGGAUUAGAUACCCCCGUAGUCCCUGUCUCUUAUAA